ACGGGGUCCUUUUACAAUUGCAAGUUCGAACGAGGACGUCGGUGUAUCAAUACAUCGGCGGUUCUAGUGCUGCCCUUGGUGAGUAAACGUGGGUAACCUGCCCUCGAGUCUGGUUUACCCUCUCGAAAGGGAGGCUAAUACCGGAUACGUUCCUCGGAUUGCUGGGUCUGGGGAGGAAAGGUGGCGAAAGCUGCCGCUCUUGGAGGGGCUCGCGGCCUAUCAGCUAGUUGGUGAGGUGACGGCUCUCCCAGGCUAUGACGGGUAGCUGGUCUGAGAGGACGACCAGCCUCACGGGAACUGAGACACGGUCCCGACUCCUACGGGAGGCACAGUGGGGAAUUUUCCGCAGUGGGCGAAACCCUGACCGAUUGACCCCUCGAGGGGGUUGAAGGCCUUCGGGUCGUUACCCCCGUCAAAGGCUAAGAAUGUUGUUGGCUUGAUCAGCUCCGGUUCUUACUGUACCUCAGAGGAACCCCCGGG
RNAcentral lists this ribosomal RNA (480 nucleotides) under uncultured Demequina sp. Its description in RNAcentral is "bacterial SSU rRNA". It matches the Rfam family "Bacterial small subunit ribosomal RNA", at positions 39 to 497 of the family's 1533-position model. Lineage: Bacteria; Bacillati; Actinomycetota; Actinomycetes; Micrococcales; Demequinaceae. The record is from RNAcentral.